This is a long non-coding RNA of Marmota monax (woodchuck), 917 nucleotides long. RefSeq lists it as uncharacterized. The transcript is spliced from 3 exons. NCBI's taxonomy places the organism in Eukaryota, Metazoa, Chordata, Mammalia, Rodentia, Sciuridae. The record is from RefSeq and is a predicted model, not a curated record.
CACGUCUCUCAAAUACAUCACUUGCACUAAAAUCCUUUUCUCAGGGUCUAUUUAUGGUGGACCCUAAGUAAAGAUAUCCCCAGACUCUGGAGUUUUGGAGAUAUUUAAUCCUGUCAAAGGCACCUGAAGCCCACAGAGAUGGAAACAUGGAUUUGGAGAUUGAAGUCACAAUCAAGGUCUUGCUUUUCCUCCUCUGUCAUGCUGGGUCAACCACUGAGUUGUGCCAGCCGAGCACCAUUCAGGUCCUGGGAUAUGCAGCCACAUCAAUCCAGGCCAAUGAACAUGGCAGUGGAGGCACAGACUUUCCUCUUAGGGUCUCAGGAAGACCACUGAACAGCAGGGGAAACUGAGGGAAACAGCUUUUCUGGGCUGUGCUGAGGCUACGAUCGUGGAUGACCUGUGUUGGCCACUAUUUACUGAUGCUCCAAGCAUUCUUCCAGAAGUUUCUCUUUCCACCUUCUAGUGCUGCUGUAAUUAUCUCUAGGUUAGAGAAUAUUUUCUAUCUAUUUUUGAAAAAUAUAUACAAAGAGAGGGAAAUAGGUUCAAACCUUGGGUCUAUUUGUAAACUACAUGAGAUUUAGUCUAUUGACUUUCUAGUCUCUCUCUUUUUGGGGAAGGUGGGGUAUCAGGGAUUGAACUCAGGGGCACUCAACCACUGAGCCACAUUCCCAGCCCUAUUUUGUAGAGACAGGGUUUCACUGAGUUGCUUAGAGCCUCACUUUUGCUGAGGCUGGCUUUGAACUCUUGAUCCUCCUGCCUCAAGCCUACCGCACUACUGGGAUUACAGGCAUGCACCACAGCGCCCAGCUAUAGUCCCUCUUUUGAUGACUUUUCUCAGUUGCUUGGUUUGUCCUUGACUAUUUGGUGGAAAUAGCUGAGGUUACCAAAUAAAUGACUUACAGACAAAUGAAUUAUUA